RNAcentral lists this ribosomal RNA (446 nucleotides) under Allostigmatella aurantiaca DW4/3-1. RNAcentral describes it as "bacterial LSU rRNA". It matches the Rfam family "Bacterial large subunit ribosomal RNA", at positions 2482 to 2925 of the family's 2925-position model. Lineage: Bacteria; Pseudomonadati; Myxococcota; Myxococcia; Myxococcales; Archangiaceae. The record is from RNAcentral.
CUUAUCUCCCCCAAGAGUUCACAUCGACGGGGAGGUUUGGCACCUCGAUGUCGGCUCAUCGCAUCCUGGGGCUGGAGCAGGUCCCAAGGGUUUGGCUGUUCGCCAAUUAAAGCGGUACGCGAGCUGGGUUCAAAACGUCGUGAGACAGUUUGGUCCCUAUCUGCUGUGGGCGUAGGAUACUUGAGAGGCUCUGACCUUAGUACGAGAGGACCGGGUUGGAGACACCUCUGGUGUACCAGUUAUCACGCCAGUGGUAUCGCUGGGUAGCCAAGUGUCGAUUGGAUAACCGCUGAAAGCAUCUAAGCGGGAAACCGACCUCAAGACCAGGUAUCCCGGGCGCAAGCCCCUGAAGAGCCGUCGAAGACUACGACGUUGAUAGGCCGGGUGUGUAAGCGCGGUAACGCGUUGAGCUAACCGGUACUAAUUGCUCGUGCGGCUUACUUUAU